RNAcentral lists this ribosomal RNA (407 nucleotides) under uncultured bacterium. RNAcentral describes it as "partial 16S ribosomal RNA". It matches the Rfam family "Bacterial small subunit ribosomal RNA", at positions 30 to 526 of the family's 1533-position model. The record is from RNAcentral.
AUUGAACGCUGGCGGCAGGCCUAACACAUGCAAGUCGAGCGGAGCGGCGGACGGGGGAGUAAUGCCUAGGAAUCGGCCAGGUAGUGGGGGAUAACGUCCGGAAACGGGCGCGAAUACCACAUACUAUCAGAGAAGCCUAGGUCGGAUUAGCUAGUUGUUGGGGUAAAGGCCUACCAAGGCGACGAUCCGUAACUGGUCUGAGAGGAUGAUCAGUCACACUGGAACUUAGACACGGUCCAGACUCCUACGGGAGGCAGCAGUGGGGAAUAUUGGACAAUGGGCGAAAGUCUGAUCCAGCCAUGCCGCGUGUGUGAAGAAGGUCUUCGGAUUGUAAAGCACUUUAAGUUGGGAGGCGUUACCAACAGAAUAAGCACCGGCUAACUUCGUGCCAGCAGCCGCGGUAAUAC